UACGUAGGCCCCGAGCGUUGUCCGGAUUUAUUGGGCGUAAAGCGAGCGCAGGUGGUUUAUUAAGUCUGGUGUAAAAGGCAGUGGCUCAACCAUUGUAUGCAUUGGAAACUGGUAGACUUGAGUGCAGGAGAGGAGAGUGGAAUUCCAUGUGUAGCGGUGAAAUGCGUUGAUAUAUGGAGGAACACCGGUGGCGAAAGCGGCUCUCUGGCCUGUAACUGACACUGAGGCUCGAAAGCGUGGGGAGCAAACAGG
RNAcentral lists this ribosomal RNA (252 nucleotides) under uncultured bacterium. RNAcentral describes it as "partial 16S ribosomal RNA". It matches the Rfam family "Bacterial small subunit ribosomal RNA", at positions 524 to 776 of the family's 1533-position model. The record is from RNAcentral.